RNAcentral lists this ribosomal RNA (292 nucleotides) under uncultured microorganism. Its description in RNAcentral is "partial 16S ribosomal RNA". It matches the Rfam family "Bacterial small subunit ribosomal RNA", at positions 505 to 796 of the family's 1533-position model. The record is from RNAcentral.
GUGCCAGCAGCCGCGGUAAUACGGAGGGUGCGAGCGUUAAUCGGAAUUACUGGGCGUAAAGCGCGCGUAGGCGGUCUGAUAAGCCGGUUGUGAAAGCCCCGGGCUCAACCUGGGAACGGCAUCCGGAACUGUCAGGCUAGAGUGCAGGAGAGGAAGGUAGAAUUCCCGGUGUAGCGGUGAAAUGCGUAGAGAUCGGGAGGAAUACCAGUGGCGAAGGCGGCCUUCUGGACUGACACUGACGCUGAGGUGCGAAAGCGUGGGUAGCAAACAGGAUUAGAUACCCUGGUAGUCC